RNAcentral lists this ribosomal RNA (468 nucleotides) under uncultured bacterium. RNAcentral's name for it is "partial 16S ribosomal RNA". It matches the Rfam family "Bacterial small subunit ribosomal RNA", at positions 28 to 507 of the family's 1533-position model. The record is from RNAcentral.
GACGAACGCUGGCGGCGUGCUUAACACAUGCAAGUCGAACGGAAAGGCCCUGCUUUUGUGGGGUGCUCGAGUGGCGAACGGGUGAGUAACACGUGAGUAACCUGCCCUUGACUUUGGGAUAACUUCAGGAAACUGGGGCUAAUACCGGAUAGGAGCUCCUGCUGCAUGGUGGGGGUUGGAAAGUUUCGGCGGUUGGGGAUGGACUCGCGGCUUAUCAGCUUGUUGGUGGGGUAGUGGCUUACCCAGGCUUUGACGGGUAGCCGGCCUGAGAGGGUGACCGGCCACAUUGGGACUGAGAUACGGCCCAGACUCCUACUGGAGGCAGCAGUGGGGAAUAUUGCACAAUGGGCGGAAGCCUGAUGCAGCAACGCCGCGUGCGGGAUGACGGCCUUCGGGUUGUAAACCGCUUUCGCCUGUGACGAAGCGUGAGUGACGGUAAUGGGUAAAGAAGCACCGGCUAACUACGUG